GAUGAACGCUGGCGGCGUGCCUAAUACAUGCAAGUCGAGCGAACAGACGAGGAGCUUGCUCCUCUAACGUUAGCGGCGGACGGGUGAGUAACACGUGGAUAACCUACCUAUAAGACUGGGAUAACUUCGGGAAACCGGAGCUAAUACCGGAUAAUAUAUUGAACCGCAUGGUUCAAUAGUGAAAGACGGUUUUGCUGUCACUUAUAGAUGGAUCCGCGCCGCAUUAGCUAGUUGGUAAGGUAACAGCUUACCAAGGCAACGAUGCGUAGCCGACCUGAGAGGGUGAUCGGCAACACUGGAACUGAGACACGGUCCAGACUCCUACGGGAGGCAGCAGUAGGGAAUCUUCCGCAAUGGGCGAAAGCAUGACGGAGCAACGCCGCGUGAGUGAUGAAGGUCUUCGGAUCGUAAAACUCUGUUAUUAGGGAAGAACAAAUGUGUAAGUAACUAUGCACGUCUUGACGGUACCUAAUCAGAAAGCCACGGCUAACUACGUG
RNAcentral lists this ribosomal RNA (497 nucleotides) under uncultured bacterium. RNAcentral describes it as "partial 16S ribosomal RNA". It matches the Rfam family "Bacterial small subunit ribosomal RNA", at positions 28 to 507 of the family's 1533-position model. The record is from RNAcentral.